Molecule: ribosomal RNA, 253 nt
Filed under: uncultured bacterium
Lineage: Bacteria
Description: partial 16S ribosomal RNA
Rfam family: Bacterial small subunit ribosomal RNA
Source: RNAcentral
UACAGAGGGGGCGAGCGUUGUUCGGAAUUACUGGGCGUAAAGGGCGCGUAGGCGGCCCGCUAAGUCGAACGUGAAAUCCCCAGGCUCAACCUGGGAACUGCGUCCGAUACUGGCAGGCUUGAAUCCGGGAGAGGGAUGUGGAAUUCCCAGUGUAGUGGUGAAAUACGUAGAGAUUGGGAAGAACACCAGUGGCGAAGGCGGCUAUCUGGACGGUUUCUGACACUAAGACUCGAAAGCGUGGGGAGCAAACAGG